UGGGGAAUAUUGGACAAUGGGCGAAAGCCUGAUCCAGCCAUGCCGCGUGAGUGAUGAAGGCCUUAGGGUUGUAAAGCUCUUUCAGUGGGGAAGAUAAUGACGGUACCCACAGAAGAAGCCCCGGCUAACUUCGUGCCAGCAGCCGCGGUAAUACGAAGGGGCGUAGCGUUGUUCGGAUUUACUGGGCGUAAAGCGCACGUAGGCGGAUCGUUAAGUCGGGGUGAAAUCCUGGAGCUCAACUCCAGAACUGCCUUCGAUACUGGCGAUCUAGAGUCCGGAAGAGGUGAGUGGAACUCCUAGUGUAGAGGUGGAAUUCGUAGAUAUUAGGAAGAACACCAGUGGCGAAGGCGGCUUCACUGGUCCGGUACUGACGCUGAGGUGCGAAAGCGUGGGGAGCAAACA
Molecule: ribosomal RNA, 402 nt
Filed under: uncultured Hyphomicrobiales bacterium
Lineage: Bacteria; Pseudomonadati; Pseudomonadota; Alphaproteobacteria; Hyphomicrobiales
Description: bacterial SSU rRNA
Rfam family: Bacterial small subunit ribosomal RNA
Source: RNAcentral